RNAcentral lists this non-coding RNA (166 nucleotides) under Perkinsus marinus ATCC 50983. Its description in RNAcentral is "Eukaryotic large subunit ribosomal RNA". It matches the Rfam family "Eukaryotic large subunit ribosomal RNA", at positions 1 to 167 of the family's 3401-position model. Lineage: Eukaryota; Perkinsozoa; Perkinsida; Perkinsidae. The record is from Rfam by way of RNAcentral.
AAGGCCUGAUGUGUGUGAGAUUACCCGCUGAAUUUAAGCAUAUAAGUAAGCGGAGGAAAAGAAACUAACUAGGAUUCUCUUAGUAAUGGCGAAUGAACAGGAUCAGCUCAGUGCCAAAUCGGAAUCACUUGUGGUUCUGAAAUGUGGCUUGAAGGCAGUACCAGUG